GCACACACGACAGUCGCGCAGCAAGCGUUCACAUGAGCAGGCAGAGGCAGCCAUUGCCACUGUACGGUUUUCAUAUGCAGGUUAACCUAACACGCGCACACUGGAAAUCUAGAUAUUUGAGAAGAGAAUUAAAUAAUGAUAACCGUUCACAAUGAACACGGAGAAGCUACCUAAUGAUACAGGGAGAAAUGAACUCUAAAACUUAAAAACGAAUUUUUAAAUCUCGUUUCCGGCUGGACUGGGCAGAUGAAAACACAUCUUUGAAUGAACCAAAUGAGCGCAAUUAGCAGUUGAGGUUGAGGUUGAGACACAAUUGUAUUUGAUAGUGAAGUUAAACUAUCAGAAAAUAGUAACAAAGCGAAAAAAGGGAAGUGUUAGAUACAGCAGCGCCUAAACUGUAGCUCUGUUUCGUUAGUAUUCCUAAACUCCAAUGGAGUCGACUUCCUCCCGUGUACUAUAAGGCGUACAUGGCAGUUUUUUAACAACUGAGUAGAAUGGUUCUUAAGAAAUGUGAAGCAUAGCUAGUAGUGUUACAGACACACUUACCUCAUCAUCCGGUCGACCUCGUUUUUCCAACAAAAUACGCUUUUCCAUGAUGAUAUUCGGUGAUGAUGGUGUUGAGUAUUUCACUUAGAGAUAAGUCACUCCACGCAGUGCUCCUCCAGGUCCUUCGAAAACUCUUUGUUGUGUCACUGGAUUACUUUUGUCUUUAGGCACGAAUUUUAUAUAUUGAUUUCCUGCAAGUGGUACAAAAAAAGCACACAAUUAAUAUAUUUGUAUUUACGUUGACACAAUCAGUCUAAUUAAACCGAUCUUUCUUAAAAGGUA
Anopheles gambiae (African malaria mosquito) is the source of this 828-nucleotide long non-coding RNA. RefSeq lists it as uncharacterized. The transcript is spliced from 2 exons. The record is from RefSeq and is a predicted model, not a curated record. Lineage: Eukaryota; Metazoa; Arthropoda; Insecta; Diptera; Culicidae.